This 254-nucleotide ribosomal RNA is filed under the name uncultured bacterium. Its description in RNAcentral is "partial 16S ribosomal RNA". It matches the Rfam family "Bacterial small subunit ribosomal RNA", at positions 524 to 776 of the family's 1533-position model. The record is from RNAcentral.
UACGUAGGGGGCAAGCGUUACCCGGAUUUACUGGGCGUAAAGCGCGUGUAGGCGGCUGGCCAAGCGUGGUGUGAAAUCUCCAGGCUCAACCUGGAAACUGCACUGCGAACUGGUCUGGCUGGAGUGCAGGAGAGGGAUGCGGAAUUCCCGGUGUAGCGGUGAAAUGCGCAGAUAUCGGGAGGAACACCAGUGGCGAAGGCGACUACCUGGCCUGUUCUUGACGCUGAGGCGCGAAAGCUAGGGGAGCAAACGGG